AACGCACAUUGCGCCUUCCGGCAUUCCGGGAGGCAUGCCUGUCCGAACGUCAUCAAACCCCUCGCCAGGAGCCGUUUCUGACAACGGCCCCAGGGCGGCAGCUGGGGGACGGCGGCCGCUCGCUCGGCCGCCACCCCCGAAACGCACUGGCGCGUACGCCCCGGCCGUGAUUGUGAUAAGCCCUUAUAGCGGUCACAGGCCACCGGUUCUGCGCAGCCCUAAAGGGCCGAGGGUGCUCUCCACGGCACCCGAAGCACCUAACCCAGCAUUUGACUUCGGAUCAGGUAGGGAUACCCGCUGAACUUAA
This 307-nucleotide unclassified non-coding RNA is filed under the name uncultured Ascomycota. Its description in RNAcentral is "sequence contains 5.8S rRNA gene, ITS2, 28S rRNA gene". Lineage: Eukaryota; Fungi; Ascomycota. The record is from RNAcentral.